This 468-nucleotide ribosomal RNA is filed under the name uncultured bacterium. RNAcentral describes it as "partial 16S ribosomal RNA". It matches the Rfam family "Bacterial small subunit ribosomal RNA", at positions 28 to 507 of the family's 1533-position model. The record is from RNAcentral.
GACGAACGCUGGCGGCGUGCUUAACACAUGCAAGUCGAACGGAAAGGCCCUGCUUUUGUGGGGUGCUCGAGUGGCGAACGGGUGAGUAACACGUGAGUAACCUGCCCUUGACUUUGGGAUAACUUCAGGAAAAUGGGGUUAAUACAGGACAGGAGCUCCUGCUGCAUGGGGGGGGUUGGAAAGUUUCGGCGGUUGGGGAUGGACUCGCGGCUUAUCAGCUUGUUGGUGGGGUAGUGGCUUACCAAGGCUUUGACGGGUAGCCGGCCUGGGAGGGUGACCGGCCACAUUGGGCCUGAGAUACGGCCCAGACUCCUACGGGAGGCAGCGGUGGGGAAUAUUGCACGAUGGGCGGAAUCCGGAUGCAGCGACGCCGCGUGCGGGAUGACGGCCUUCGGGUUGUAAACCGCUUUCGCCUGUGACGAAGAGUGAGUGACGGUAAUGGGUAAAGAAGCACCGGCUAACUACGUG